This 273-nucleotide RNase P RNA is filed under the name Clonorchis sinensis. RNAcentral's name for it is "Nuclear RNase P". It matches the Rfam family "Nuclear RNase P". Rfam says of the family: Ribonuclease P (RNase P) is a ubiquitous endoribonuclease, found in archaea, bacteria and eukarya as well as chloroplasts and mitochondria. The record is from Rfam by way of RNAcentral. Lineage: Eukaryota; Metazoa; Platyhelminthes; Trematoda; Opisthorchiida; Opisthorchiidae.
GCCGCGCGGAGAACUCAUGUACGAGGCUAAUGAGGGUGCAUGUCACUCGACUGUAUCGUAGGAAGACCUGAGACUGUCAAGCUAUACCCCCGUGAGGGAACUACCUUGAGAGGGUACAGGACAACAGAAAAGGUUCCUGAGAGGCGCCACGACGCAGUAACCGGGCCCGUGAGCUCGUGAGGGUGAGGUGCCAUCACUGAAUGUGACGACCGUGUUGAGCGCGUGAAGCGAGAUUUGCACACGAACCCCGAUUCAGACUACUCCUGCGGCGGC